Molecule: ribosomal RNA, 903 nt
Filed under: uncultured archaeon
Lineage: Archaea
Description: bacterial SSU rRNA
Rfam family: Archaeal small subunit ribosomal RNA
Source: RNAcentral
CCUGCCAGACCUGACUGCUAUCGGAUUGAUACUAAGCCAUGCGAGUCAUUGUAGCAAUACAAGGCAUACGGCUCAGUAACGCGUAGUCAACCUAACCUAUGGACGGGAAUAACCUCGGGAAACUGAGAAUAAUGCCCGAUAGAACAUUAUACCUGGAAUGGUUUAUGUUCCAAAUGAUUUAUCGCCGUAGGAUGGGACUGCGGCCUAUCAGUUUGUUGGUGAGGUAAUGGCCCACCAAGACUAUUACAGGUACGGGCUCUGAGAGGAGUAGCCCGGAGAUGGGUACUGAGACACGGACCCAGGCCCUAUGGGGCGCAGCAGGCGAGAAAACUUUGCAAUGUGCGAAAGCACGACAAGGUUAAUCCGAGUGAUUUCUGCUAAAGAAAUCUUUUGUUAGUCCUAGAAACACUAACGAAUAAGGGGUGGGCAAGUUCUGGUGUCAGCCGCCGCGGUAAAACCAGCACCUCAAGUGGUCAGGAUGAUUAUUGGGCCUAAAGCAUCCGUAGCCGGCUCUGUAAGUUUUCGGUUAAAUCUGUACGCUCAACGUACAGGCCGCCGGGAAUACUGCAAAGCUAGGGAGUGGGAGAAGUAGACGGUACUCGGUAGGAAGUGGUAAAAUGCUUUGAUCUAUCGAUGACCACCUGUGGCGAAGGCGGUCUACUAGAACACGUCCGACGGUGAGGGAUGAAAGCUGGGGGAGCAAACCGGAUUAGAUACCCGGGUAGUCCCAGCUGUAAACUAUGCAAACUCAGUGAUGCAUUGGCUUGUGGCCAAUGCAGUGCUGCAGGGAAGCCGUUAAGUUUGCCGCCUGGGAAGUACGUACGCAAGUAUGAAACUUAAAGGAAUUGGCGGGGGAGCACCACAAGGGGUGAAGCCUGCGGUUCAAUUGGAUUCAACGCCGGG